GGGGUCGGGGAGAGGGAGGCACCGCGCGUGCGACCGCUGCUCGCCGCCGGCGAUGCGGCUAGAGGCGGCUGAACGGCCGUCGUCGAGGGCAGGGCUGCGGCUGCGGCUGCGGCUCCACGCGGGGAAACCUCGGGGGCUGCGCGCAGCCGCCUCAGGGGAGUGUCGGGGCUCCUCAACCGAGGCGGCGGCGGCGUGCUUGCUGCGGCUGGUGGAGAGGGCGAGGGGGAGAGGCAGGGGCCGGUGGGCCGCCUACCUAGCUGGGCCGGCCCACCGGCGGCCAGUUUUUUUAUUUUUCUUAUUUUUUAUUUUUCUUAUAUGAUGUAUAAUUGUCCUAAAUAAUUAUUAAUUGUCCUAAAUAAAUUUAUAUGAUGUAUUAUUAAUUAUUGAUUGUCCUAAAUAAUUAUUAAUUGUCCUAAAUAAUUAUUAAUUAUUAAUUGUCCAAAAUAAAUGUAUAUGAUGUUUUAUUUUUCUUAUAAUUAUUAAUUGUCCUAAAUAAUUAUUAAUUGUCCUAAAUAAUUGUCCUAAAUAAAUUAUUAAUUAUUUUAUGAUGUAUAAUUUGUUUUUUGUAAUGCAAUUAUUUAUAACGUAAUUAUUUACAAUGCAAUUAUAUAUAUAUGUAUGUAUAAAAAUAAUAAACAAUUAAUAUUUACUUUUAAUUUAAGUGUCUAUGUAUAUACAUUAUGCAUAUGCUAAGUAGUUAUUAUUUGUUUUUUAUAAUGCAAUUAUUUAUAAUGCAAUUAUUUACAAUGCAAUUAUAUAUAUAUAUAUGUAUGUAUAAAAAUAAUAAAUAAUUAAUAUUUACUUUAAGUUUAAGUGUCUAUGUAUAUACAUUAUGCAUAUGCUAAGUAGUUUUCAAAAGGAAAUGAGGUGAUAGAGGAUUGAAUCAGUUUCCAAAAGUAACGUUUAGAAUUAC
Molecule: long non-coding RNA, 913 nt
Filed under: Sorghum bicolor (sorghum)
Lineage: Eukaryota; Viridiplantae; Streptophyta; Magnoliopsida; Poales; Poaceae
Description: long non-coding RNA (SBIC_LNC002520)
Source: RNAcentral